This 1018-nucleotide ribosomal RNA is filed under the name Triticum dicoccoides. RNAcentral's name for it is "rRNA SSU_rRNA_eukarya". It matches the Rfam family "Bacterial small subunit ribosomal RNA", at positions 875 to 1520 of the family's 1533-position model. Lineage: Eukaryota; Viridiplantae; Streptophyta; Magnoliopsida; Poales; Poaceae. The record is from RNAcentral.
GGGGAGUACGGUCGCAAGACCGAAACUCAAAGGAAUUGACGGGGGCCUGCACAAGCGGUGGAGCAUGUGGUUUAAUUCGAUACAACGCGCAAAACCUUACCAGCCCUUGACAUAUGAACAACAAAACCUGUCCUUAACAGGAUGGUACUGACUUUCAUACAGGUGCUGCAUGGCUGUCGUCAGCUCGUGUCAUGAGAUGUUUGGUCAAGUCCUAUAAGGAGUGAAACCCUCGUUUUGUGUUGCUGAGACAUGCGCCUAAGGAGAAAUUGCCACCGAGUGACGUGCCAGCGCUACUACUUGAUUGAGUGCCAGCACGUAGCUGUGCUUUCAGCAAGAAUUUCACCAUUGGGAGCCGGUGCCUUUCGAAGCACUUUCACGUGUGAACCGAAGUCGUCUUGCCCAAGACCCACGGAGACCUACCUAUAGUGACGUCAAAGUACUAGUGAGCAUGGAGGUUUGGUUGAAAUUGGUUACGACGACGUCGAGUUGGCGGUGGAGGAAGACUCGGCAUGAAGGCUAGAAAAUGGUGUGGAACGUAGUGGUAAUAGUACGCGCCCCGCUCCGAAACAAAGAAAAAGGUGCGUGCCGCACUCACGAGGGACUACCAGUGAGAUACUGGAGGAAGGUGGGGAUGACGUCAAGUCCGCAUGGCCCUUAUGGGCUGGGCCACACACGUGCUACAAGGCAAUGACAAUGGGAAGCAAGGCUGUAAGGCGGAGCGAAUCCAGAAAGAUUGCCUCAGUUCGGAUUGUUCUCUACAACUCGGGAACAUGAAGUUGAAAUCGUUAGUAAUCGCGGAUCAGCAUGCCGCGGUGAAUAUGUACCCGGGCCCUGUACACACCGCCCUUCAUACCCUGGGAAUUGGUUUCGCCCGAAGCAUCGGACCAAUGAUCACCCAUGACUUCUGUGUACCACUAGUGCCACAAAGGCCUUUGGUGGUCUUAUUGGCGCAUACCACGGCGGGGUCUUCGACUGGGGUGAAGUCGUAACAAGGUAGCCGUAGGGGAACCUGUGGCUG